Molecule: ribosomal RNA, 490 nt
Filed under: uncultured bacterium
Lineage: Bacteria
Description: partial 16S ribosomal RNA
Rfam family: Bacterial small subunit ribosomal RNA
Source: RNAcentral
AUUGAACGCUGGCGGCAGGCCUAACACAUGCAAGUCGAACGGUAACAGAAAGCAGCUUGCUGCUUUGCUGACGAGUGGCGGACGGGUGAGGAAUGUCUGGGAAACUGCCUGAUGGAGGGGGAUAACUACUGGAAACGGUAGCUAAUACCGCAUAACGUCGCAAGACCAAAGAGGGGGACCUUCGGGCCUCUUGCCAUCGGAUGUGCCCAGAUGGGAUUAGCUUGUUGGUGGGGUAACGGCUCACCAAGGCGACGAUCCCUAGCUGGUCUGAGAGGAUGACCAGCCACACUGGAACUGAGACACGGUCCAGACUCCUACGGGAGGCAGCAGUGGGGAUUAUUGCACAAUGGGCGCAAGCCUGAUGCAGCCAUGCCGCGUGUAUGAAGAAGGCCUUCGGGUUGUAAAGUACUUUCAGCGGGGAGGAAGGGAGUAAAGUUAAUACCUUUGCUCAUUGACGUUACCCGCAGAAGAAGCACCGGCUAACUCCGUG